Molecule: ribosomal RNA, 450 nt
Filed under: uncultured bacterium
Lineage: Bacteria
Description: partial 16S ribosomal RNA
Rfam family: Bacterial small subunit ribosomal RNA
Source: RNAcentral
GUGGGGAAUCUUCCGCAAUGGACGAAAGUCUGACGGAGCAACGCCGCGUGAGUGAAGAAGGUUUUCGGAUCGUAAAGCUCUUUCGUUAGGGACGAACGUGCUCUUUGUGAAUAAUGAGGAGUAAUGACGGUACCUAAAUAAGAAGCCACGGCUAACUACGUGCCAGCAGCCGCGGUAAUACGUAGGUGGCAAGCGUUGUCCGGAAUUAUUGGGCGUAAAGCGCGCGCAGGCGGGAUAUCAAGUCUGUCUUAAAAGUGCGAGGCUCAACCUCGUGAGGGGACAGAAACUGGUAUUCUUGAGUGUCGGAGAGGAAAGUGGAAUUCCAAGUGUAGCGGUGAAAUGCGUAGACAUUUGGAAGAACACCAGUGGCGAAGGCGACUUUCUGGACGAUGUCUGACGCUGAGGCGCUAAAGCUAGGGGAGCGAACGGGAUUAGAUACCCGGGUAGUCC